Molecule: unclassified non-coding RNA, 2393 nt
Filed under: Hevea brasiliensis (rubber tree)
Lineage: Eukaryota; Viridiplantae; Streptophyta; Magnoliopsida; Malpighiales; Euphorbiaceae
Source: RNAcentral
CUUACUACCAUGCAACAAGUCACCUAAGCUCCCAUUUGGCAUAUACUCGUAAACCAGAAGCUUGCAGUCCCCAGUAUUGCAGCAACACCAUAAUCUCACAAUAUUCUUGUGCCUGAUCCUUCCCAAAGUUUCGACCUCUACUUCGAAUUCGUCUUUGUCGUAAUUGGCACUAGCAUCCUCUUGCUUGCUCUCUCCCCUUAGUUUCUUUACCGCUACUGUCUCACCAUUACUAAGCACAACCUUGUAUACUUUCCCAGAAGCUCCAGUUCCAAUCACAUUAUCUUCCUUAAGGCAAUCAGUAAUCUCAAAUUCACUAAAACCAAGCUUAUGGAAAGACCUCCACUUGGAUAUUGUAAUCCCUUUCUUACCUUUGUUGAAAUUCCGGUACUUGAAGUAGAACCAAACAACGCCAACAACAAAAACUAAACCAGCAAGUAUGAAAAUCGACCUAAGAAGCCAUAAGUAGCGCAGCUUCCCGGACUCACCCAUCUUCGGACAAAGACCCUCCAAGCCAUUGCACAAUCCUGGAUUCCCCCCGAAGCUCUUCUUAUAGAUCUCCCUGGCAAAAAGAGGGGGUAACUCUCCCGAAAGCAUAUUAUUUGAUAAGUUUAACAAAUUGAGCUUCAGUUUCUGCAAGGCCGGUGGGAUUUUCCCAGAAAAGUAAUUCCCAGAAAGAUCAAGGUAAUUAAGUACUGGCAAGUUCCCAAUUUCAUCUGGGAUGGGACCAGAUAGCUUAUUGUUCGCCAAAUUAAGCUCGUUUAAACUCUUCCAACCUUGAAUUCCCGUGGGGAACUCACCAGAUAAUUCAUUACCAUUAAGGACAAGACUACUUAACACAUUCAAAUUUACCAGGCUUCCUGGAAUUGGACCCGUAAACAAAUUAUUACUUGCAGAAAAUUCAACUAAAUUGCCAAGAAAACCAAUCUCCAUAGGUAUGUUCCCAGAAAGCUUGUUGUCUGAGAUCAGCAAAACAGAGAGAUUAUAAGCAGAAGAUAUUCUCCUGGAAACUUGCCCAGAUAACGAGUUCCCUACAAGCUCGACCAAAUAUACCCUUGGAAGUCCCCAAAACUCUUCUGGAACUGUCCCAGAAAGUUGAUUGUUCCUUAACCGAGCACGGCCUAAACUGUGGCAUUUCCCUAGACUUUCUGGGAUUUUCCCGGAAAAUGAAUUGUAUAUCAAAAUGAUGUCUUCUAAUUCUCCCUUUGCACACAAGUUAUUCGGUAUUUCACCAGAAAAUCCAUUGUAUGACACAUCAAGCGAUUUCAACAGAGAGUUCUGGCCGAGUUCACUCGGUAAUUGACCUGUUAGCUUGUUAUUGAACAAUUUGAGCUCGUAUAAAUUGGGAGACUUGGCUAUACUGUCUGGUAAAGUGCCUUCGAGACUGUUCUCGAACAAAUUCAGUGACUCGAGCUCCAACUGGCACAACUCAUUUGGAAUCGUCCCAGUUAACUCAUUCAUCGAAGCAUCAAAUCUUCUCAGCUUCGUCAAGUUUGAAAACCCUAUUGGUAGCAUGCCUGAUAAUGAGUUGUUGUAGAGCUCAAUUUGGACUACACUCUUGAGCUUGGUGAGCAAAGUUGGUAUUGACCCAGUGAGGCUAUUCUGAGACAAAUCCAAGUUUUCCAACCGAGUUAAAUGGCCCAGAAUUGCUGGAAUGGGACCAAUAAGCUUACAGUCAGCGAGCCAGAGCGCUUUAAGAUUCGUUAAGUUGGCGAGUCGAAUCGGCAAUGGACUCGGUGUGAAGGGGUUAUAAGCGAUUAAGAGAUUUUCCAGAGUCGAGAUGUUACUGAGCUCACUGGGUAUAGUUCCAUUAAGGAAAUUUCCGGCGAGCAAUAGCGUCUUAAGCCGCCGGAACUCCCCAAAUUUCACCGGAAUCUCACCAGUUAAAUUGUUUCCCGCCAAGCUCAGGUACCGGAGAUUCGGCAAGUCAGCGAGAGAUUCCGAGAUGGAGCCCACUAAAAGAUUCUGGCCCAAGUCCAAGUACUCGAGAUUCCUACACGGGGAGAAAUCAACGGGCAGGGACGAGUUGAUAGAAUUGUUGUAAAGAGAGAUGAAGGUGACAGAAGGGAGGCGGCAAAGGAAGGUGGGAAAAGGACCGGAGAGAAAUGAGUCAGAAAGGUCGACAGAGUCGACUCGGCGAGUUUCCUUGUCGCAUGUGAUGCCGACCCAGUUACAUGGAGUUUCGUCUCGUUCGUUCCAGUUAGAGAGCGCGCGAGUUGGAUCGAAGAGUCCGAGUUUGACUCGCUGGAGGAAAAGACCUUCUUGGUUGAGGGAAAGUGCAGAGAGAGGAAAGGAAAGAAAGAGAAGGGAAAGAAAGAGCAGCAUUUGAAAUUUGAACUGAGCAGAAGGGAAAGAAACAGAAGAGCUUGGAGAGAAGGGGAAGGAAAAAUGUGUGU